Gallus gallus (chicken) is the source of this 2197-nucleotide long non-coding RNA. RefSeq annotates it as serine/arginine repetitive matrix protein 3-like. Lineage: Eukaryota; Metazoa; Chordata; Aves; Galliformes; Phasianidae. The record is from RefSeq and is a predicted model, not a curated record. The transcript is spliced from 2 exons.
GCGGCCCGGCCCGGAAGUGCCGCGUUUGGCACGAGGGGAGGUUGUACCGGGACGGAGAGCCGUCCGACCCUUUCCGUUCCGUGCACGAGAAGGCCCUGAGCCCGAGCUCUGCAUGCGGCCCGGCCCGGUCCCACCGCCCCCCAUCCGAUCCCUCUCGGCCUUUGUGCGGAGCGGCCCCGCGGCUCUCAGCCCGGCCUUCGGGAGCCGCUCCAUCCCCGCAGCUCUCCCGGCAGUUCCCGUUCCCAGCGGACCUGAGCGCAGUUCUGCAGCGGCUCUGCCCGCAGCUCGGCUCCCGUUGGCCUUCGGGCCGCGCCGAGCGCUCACGGUCACCUCUUACCCCCCGGCACCCCCGGCUCCUUCACAGCCGCUCAGCCCCGUAUGGCACCGAUGGUUCCUCCUCCGUGUGCCCGCACUGAGGGCCGGGCGGUCGUAGCGCGGCGUGGAUGCGGGGCGUUGAAGCGCAGCCGUUUGGGCUCUGCCGGUCGUGGGGAACGGCGGGACCGCAUCGCUGCCUCUCCCGUCCCCACCGCUGCCAUUCCACGGGUGCUGCUCGCAGCUUUGCUCUGCAAUCCGGCUGUUUCGGGAGGGUAAAACAGAUCCCGAGCUUUUCCCACUCAACUCCACACCCGCCUCUUACGCUGAUGGGUGAAGCGUCAUCCCGCAGGUAACGGCCCGGCAGGCAUCGAAGCAAUGACCGCAUAUAGGAAGGUUCCCUUUCCCUGGCACAGCUCUGUGGCAGCUCCAGCAGCACCCCGAGCUCCACUGCUGCCACGAGUUGGCUGAGGACGCAUCAGGACUCCCCCACAUCUCGGAUUCCAUCACCUAAAGCCGAUGGGAGGAAGAAGUCUUUGUCUUUUGCUGCUCUUCUCGUUGCUUUCCUUCAGCUGCUCUCAGGUUGUUUGCGUUGUCUGAAGUGGAAACGAAGCCACAGUUGUUCCCAUUUCACCCAUCGCCGCUCGGGCCGCCAUCACAACAGUGUGUUGUUUUGUCAGCGUGCACAAAGCAGAAGGGAAAUCAGCUCACAGCUCUGCAAUCACAUCGGCUCUGCAGUGCUGACGGGAGGGAAAAGCGGCGCUGAACUUAAUGGGAACCGUCGGGACAAAAAAGGGCUCCUGGUCUGCAUGGCCACGGCCCCUCCACCGCUCCUGUGCCUUCCACCUCCUGCCCUGGCUCCAGCUGGAACCCGAGGCUGAGCUGUACAACCAUUACCCCACGGCUGUGUCCCAUCAGUGCAGCCUAAGAGCACUGGGAAGCGGCUCAGGACAAAGGUGGGGUCUUCCAGCCAUCACAGGGCCUGGCUGCGGGGUUAGAACAGAACGAGAGCUCAGCACACGAAUUUCACAUUGACAUUUUUAUUAACGCCAACUGCUUUAAUUUUUGUUGUGGUUUUCUGGUUGGUUGGUUGGUUUUUUAAACAAGAGCACAAAAAUGUUUGGGGGGGGAGAAGGGGGGGGAAGCGGUCUGACAGUCUGAUGACCUUCUGAAGUACAGUGAAGCCACAACAAGGAUGAAUUCCUGUUAAAGAAAGGGAAAAAGAACCAUCCGGAGCUCCAACCUUUUAGUCAGAGGGUGUUGUGUUGGUGAGCAGCCCGCCCUGCUUUGACAGCACACGGCUUAGGCUUCAUCAGCACUCCACUCACCGCUCAUUUAAGGCUUCUGAAUCCAUCGACAUCACAGAAAGGAACGGAAAGCUAUUGCUGCUACGGCCACGAGGAGGUGGGACAGGCUGGGCUGCGGGGGCACGGAGCAGAGCGUGCCCUGCCAGCAGUGGGAGAGCUGGGCACGCAGUGCUGCCCGUCGGCAUGCAUGGUGAGGGUGCCGUGGAGUCAGGAGAGAAAGGAUAGACCGCGUGAAUCGUCCUCUCGUUUUAACGUGGCUAUGAGAGAUGUUUCCAUACAAUCCUGGUAUCUCUGAGAAGGACAUCAGCAAAGUGGAACGGAGGAGCGGAGAGCGACAGAACGGUUUUCUUUCCGCUGAGAGGUAACACAAAAAGGGGGGGAAACCUACGAUCCGUGGGGCUGAGGGGGGGGGAAGGGGGGGGGGGGGGUUGCAGGAACGUCUCCCCCAAACCGUGCACUGGGAGCUGUUUGGCCUCCUGCCUUCCGAGCUCUGUGUGGGCACUCAGCCUCUCCUGCCCCGAAUUCUGCUGACCUCACACUGCUGGUUUCCUCUUCUGGGGGGGGGGGGGGGGGGGGGA